AUCGCUUCUCGGCCUUUUGGCUAAGAUCGAGUGUAGUAUCUGUUCUUACCAGUUUUAAUAUCUAGUAGGGUUGAAAUAGCAAGUUUUCUGCCUUGUCUGUAGAGGUGAGCUCUGCUUAUAGGGAAGUGGGAAGGGGAAUGAUGGUUGGGGAAACAAUGUUUGCCUCACCAAACUUUAAUAUGAUUUUAUUUAUGUAUUUGGGGAGGUGUCACCUUUA
RNAcentral lists this small nuclear RNA (217 nucleotides) under Myotis brandtii (Brandt's bat). RNAcentral describes it as "U2 spliceosomal RNA". It matches the Rfam family "U2 spliceosomal RNA". Rfam says of the family: U2 is a small nuclear RNA (snRNA) component of the spliceosome (involved in pre-mRNA splicing). Complementary binding between U2 snRNA (in an area lying towards the 5' end but 3' to hairpin I) and the branchpoint sequence (BPS) of the intron results the bulging out of an unpaired adenosine, on the BPS, which initiates a nucleophilic attack at the intronic 5' splice site, thus starting the first of two transesterification reactions that mediate splicing. Lineage: Eukaryota; Metazoa; Chordata; Mammalia; Chiroptera; Vespertilionidae. The record is from Rfam by way of RNAcentral.